Molecule: long non-coding RNA, 572 nt
Organism: Mercurialis annua (annual mercury)
Lineage: Eukaryota; Viridiplantae; Streptophyta; Magnoliopsida; Malpighiales; Euphorbiaceae
Exons: 4
Source: RefSeq, a predicted model, not a curated record
UUACUAAAAUCUGGUCGGUCGGAUCGUGUUUUUAUUGAAUUCGCGGGCGCGAACUAUAGUUAGCGGUCGCUAACUAAUGCUGUUGAAGUUAGCGGGCGCGAACUAUACUUAGCGGGCGCGAACUUGCACUGUUCAGUUCGCUGUUUUUCUAUUUAAAGACCUCUUAUUCGACCUAAACUCUUUUCCUUCGACUUUUAAAACCCUAAAACGGCUGGAGUCAUAUUCUAACUCAUUCCUAUCAACAUUCCUCUCAAUUUUAAUCCUUGGCUGAUUUGGGUUGAUUGAUUUCUGGGUUUUAUUGUUCUUAGUCUAAUCAAGAGACCCGUCGACUGCUCGUGCUUCGGAGCCUACGCAGGGUUAGCUGUUUGCCAAGAUUCACGUGGAUAAGCAAGCAGUUUAUGAUUUGAAAGCUGGUCCACUCCGAUUCUUUUGAUUCUUCGGAGGUUUUUAUGUUAUUUAACUAGUUACUGUUUUCGAACUCUUAGACCGCAGUAGAACUAGUUUAUUUAUUACAUCUGAUAUUACACUUUGGGAUUCUCGAUAUAUUCGAUUAUUUAUAUUUGGCGUGAUUA